AAAGAAAACACAGCGCCAGAACUCGUAUUGCGCGAGUUGACGAGGACAAGGAGAAUCGAAAAUUCGGCGGAUGCCUUGCGGUACGGUACUACCGGAAAUGUUGAAAAAAACAAAAAGCGAUUUUUGAACAAAUUCAACAGGGUACCUUGAA
Molecule: non-coding RNA, 151 nt
Filed under: Clostridium sp.
Lineage: Bacteria; Bacillati; Bacillota; Clostridia; Eubacteriales; Clostridiaceae
Description: GlcN6P sequence
Rfam family: glmS glucosamine-6-phosphate activated ribozyme aptamer
About the family: This entry contains a glucosamine-6-phosphate activated ribozyme that is found in the mRNA for GlmS. GlmS is an enzyme that uses fructose-6-phosphate and glutamine to generate glucosamine-6-phosphate.
Source: RNAcentral